AGAGAGAGACGUGGAACAUGGGAGACAAUAUCCCUACAGUACUUUCACAGUGAGAAGAAUGGUGGUGGUGCUGGGGACACAGCAAGAAGAUGGCCAUCUAUGAACCAGGACGUGACCUCU
Molecule: long non-coding RNA, 120 nt
Organism: Balaenoptera ricei (Rice's whale)
Lineage: Eukaryota; Metazoa; Chordata; Mammalia; Artiodactyla; Balaenopteridae
Exons: 3
Source: RefSeq, a predicted model, not a curated record